CUUCUGCAAAUAAAAGGCUUCUUUAAAGAUAUGAACACAAUAUGUAAAGUUUUGGAUAAUGGGCAGCCUGUGUUACAAAUAAUGUUUUGUGUCUUUUGAAAAAUUACAAGAUGGUUCUGUUAUUAUUGCAAAAUGAUUGUAAAAAACUGUAAUCAGUGAAUAUAAAGUAUAUUCUGCUGGUCCGGUGAAAGAAGCUGCUCCUGUCUGAAGAGAAAACACUCUCAGAACUAUAACACACACAUACAGUAACUGUCAGUAUAAUACAGUACACACACUGUCAGUGUAAGGACUGAGUGUUAUUAGUGUGUGUGUGUGUGUGUGUGUGUGUGUGUGUGUGUGUUGAGAAUCUCACCUCGUCUGAGAGUCUCUCUGAAUAAAA
Cyprinus carpio carpio is the source of this 379-nucleotide long non-coding RNA. Lineage: Eukaryota; Metazoa; Chordata; Actinopteri; Cypriniformes; Cyprinidae. The record is from Ensembl.